Molecule: ribosomal RNA, 402 nt
Rfam family: Bacterial small subunit ribosomal RNA
UGGGGAAUAUUGCACAAUGGGCGCAAGCCUGAUGCAGCGACGCCGCGUGAAGGAUGAAGGUCUUUGGAUUGUAAACUUCUUUGACGAGGGACGAAAUUUGACGGUACCUCGAAAACAAGCCACGGCUAACUACGUGCCAGCAGCCGCGGUAAUACGUAGGUGGCAAGCGUUGUCCGGAUUUACUGGGUGUAAAGGGCGUGUAGGCGGGUGGAUAAGUUAUUAGUAAAAGGCUAAGGCUCAACCUUGGUAAGCUAGUAAAACUGUUCAUCUUGAGUAUCGGAGAGGAAAGCGGAAUUCCCAGUGUAGCGGUGAAAUGCGUAGAUAUUGGGAGGAACACCAGUGGCGAAGGCGGCUUUCUGGACGACAACUGACGCUGAGGCGCGAAAGCGUGGGGAGCAAACA